This 424-nucleotide ribosomal RNA is filed under the name uncultured bacterium. RNAcentral describes it as "partial 16S ribosomal RNA". It matches the Rfam family "Bacterial small subunit ribosomal RNA", at positions 360 to 776 of the family's 1533-position model. The record is from RNAcentral.
AAUAUUUGACAAUGGGCGAAAGCCUGAUCCAGCCACGCCGCGUGUGUGAAGAAGGUCUUCGGAUUNUCAAGCACUUUAAGCUGGGANGAAGGGCAGUAAGUUAAUACCUUACUGUUUUGACGUUACCGACAGAAUAAGCACCGGCUAACUCCGUGCCAGCAUCCGCGGUAAUACGAAGGGUGCAAGCGUUAAUCGGAAUUACUGGGCGUAAAGCGCGCGUAGGUGGUUCAGUAAGAUGGAAGUGAAAUCCCCGGGCUUAACCUGGGAAUUGCUUUCAAAACUGACGAGCUAGAGUACGGUAGAGGGUAGUGGAAUUUCCUGUGUAGCGGUGAAAUGCGUAGAUAUAGGAAGGAACAUCAGUGGCGAAGGCGACUACCUGGACUGAUACUGACACUGAGGUGCGAAAGCGUGGGGAGCAAACAGG